UACAGAGGUCCCAAGCGUUGUUCGGAUUCAUUGGGCGUAAAGGGUGCGUAGGCGGCGCGGUAAGUCGGGUGUGAAAUCUCGGGGCUUAACUCCGAAACUGCAUUCGAUACUGCCGUGCUUGAGGACUGGAGAGGAGACUGGAAUUUACGGUGUAGCGGUGAAAUGCGUAGAGAUCGUAAGGAAGACCAGUGGCGAAGGCGGGUCUCUGGACAGUUCCUGACACUGAGGCACGAAGGCCAGGGGAGCAAACGGG
Molecule: ribosomal RNA, 253 nt
Filed under: uncultured bacterium
Lineage: Bacteria
Description: partial 16S ribosomal RNA
Rfam family: Bacterial small subunit ribosomal RNA
Source: RNAcentral